Molecule: long non-coding RNA, 1370 nt
Organism: Pseudophryne corroboree (corroboree frog)
Lineage: Eukaryota; Metazoa; Chordata; Amphibia; Anura; Myobatrachidae
Exons: 3
Source: RefSeq, a predicted model, not a curated record
AAGAAGCUGCUAGACUGUCCCCACGGCAGCAUCAUCCGCAUGCCAUAGCCGGGGAGCAGGAGUCACGAGCAGUUAGAGAGGAGGUUAUAAAAGGGGCUGCUGGUGCGGCAGUUGAAAAAGAGCCGGUAGCCUGUGAUACAGUGAGGAGCAGUGACGGAGGACAGGGGGAUCUCUUACCAGUAAAGGAGGUGACCCCCGUCGAAAUUAGUUCAGUUAAGUGUGGGAAUCGCUGACACCGGGAGCUGCUGCGGUGGUAGACGCGUGAGUGAGGAGAGACUACAGUCCAGGAUGGACAGCGCCUUACCUCUCUCUGCCAGCACUGAUUGCAUAGGAGGCCAGGAGAGUGAAAGUGUGGAGGGCUGGAGCACUGGUCAAGCAAGUCGAUCCUCCAAAUUCAGCGGCUGGUAGAAGUAGGGACAGCCUCCCUGAGGAAUCGAAGGGGCUAGUCUACAGCACAGACCCAUAGACCCAAAUUCGGUGUGGUAUGACUGGAAACAUCAUUUUAGGCUCAGAGUCAAGGUGAGCUGAGUCAGAAGGAGAAGGAGGAGCAGGUGAGAGGGACCCAGCCUCAGGUUGAGGAGGAGGCUGGUGAGGAGAAAGGAGGAGGCUGUUUCUACCCCUGGGAAGACGAAAAUCAGGCAGGAUGUCCAGUUUACGUACGAAGAGAACUGUGCACUGGUGCAGGUAAUAGUGCCAGUUCAUGAUAGACUCCUAGGACUGGAGGCACAAGACACAACCCUGGCCUGCAAGAAGGGAUUAUGGCAGGGAAUGUGUGAUGCCAUGAAUACAGUCAGCUCUUACAAGCGCUGACUUGAAAAUUUCAAGAAGCACUUCAACGAUGUGAAGUGCAUCCUCAAGGCAAAGCUGGCAGAGGAGCUGCAGGAGUCUCACAGAACAGAGGGAGGCCGAGCACUCCAGAUUCUCUAUAGAGCAUUCGAGGAGGAGCUCAAGCAGGUCAUACCACCUGAAGUACUGUCUGGCUCCCAUAUAAAGGACACCGACCGUCCACAAUCACAAGCCCAACCUGCUGCACAACAGAAGAAGACUUCUGACAAUGCUCCUGCAAAAAGGUGACAUCUGCAAACCGACAAAGAUCAGUCUGGGGAGUCCUAAACAAGUACAAAACUAAGAAAAGUACAAUCAGCCCAUGGGUCAGCAGGCCUCUGCAAUACAUCUAUAAGGGCACGUAACCUUAACUGCAUUACCAUUGUGACAUUUAUCCCUACAUCCAUUUAACAAUUUAAUGAGGCCAAAAUCAUAUCAGUAUUUCAGCUUUCUAAAUUAUAGCUAAUGUUUAGAAGUAAUUUAUCUGUAAAAUGCAAACUUAAUGCAAACUUACCAAGAGAAUUACCUUAAAAACCAUGCUUUUA